AACGCUGGCGGCGUGCCUAAUACAUGCAAGUCGAGCGAACGGACGAGAAGCUUGCUUCUCUGAUGUUAGCGGCGGACGGGUGAGUAACACGUGGAUAACCUACCUAUAAGACUGGGAUAACUUCGGGAAACCGGAGCUAAUACCGGAUAAUAUUUUGAACCGCAUGGUUCAAAAGUGAAAGACGGUCUUGCUGUCACUUAUAGAUGGAUCCGCGCUGCAUUAGCUAGUUGGUAAGGUAACGGCUUACCAAGGCAACGAUGCAUAGCCGACCUGAGAGGGUGAUCGGCCACACUGGAACUGAGACACGGUCCAGACUCCUACGGGAGGCAGCAGUAGGGAAUCUUCCGCAAUGGGCGAAAGCCUGACGGAGCAACGCCGCGUGAGUGAUGAAGGUCUUCGGAUCGUAAAACUCUGUUAUUAGGGAAGAACAUAUGUGUAAGUAACUGUGCACAUCUUGACGGUACCUAAUCAGAAAGCCACGGCUAACUACGUGCCAGCAGCCGCGGUAAUACGUAGGUGGCAAGCGUUAUCCGGAAUUAUUGGGCGUAAAGCGCGCGUAGGCGGUUUUUUAAGUCUGAUGUGAAAGCCCACGGCUCAACCGUGGAGGGUCAUUGGAAACUGGAAAACUUGAGUGCAGAAGAGGAAAGUGGAAUUCCAUGUGUAGCGGUGAAAUGCGCAGAGAUAUGGAGGAACACCAGUGGCGAAGGCGACUUUCUGGUCUGUAACUGACGCUGAUGUGCGAAAGCGUGGGGAUCAAACAGGAUUAGAUACCCUGGUAGUCCACGCCGUAAACGAUGAGUGCUAAGUGUUAGGGGGUUUCCGCCCCUUAGUGCUGCAGCUAACGCAUUAAGCACUCCGCCUGGGGAGUACGACCGCAAGGUUGAAACUCAAAGGAAUUGACGGGGACCCGCACAAGCGGUGG
RNAcentral lists this ribosomal RNA (922 nucleotides) under Staphylococcus aureus. Its description in RNAcentral is "bacterial SSU rRNA". It matches the Rfam family "Bacterial small subunit ribosomal RNA", at positions 32 to 935 of the family's 1533-position model. Lineage: Bacteria; Bacillati; Bacillota; Bacilli; Caryophanales; Staphylococcaceae. The record is from RNAcentral.